GAUGAACGCUGGCGGCGUGCUUAACACAUGCAAGUCGAACGGAAAGGCUCCUGCUUGCAGGGGUACUCGAGUGGCGAACGGGUGAGUAACACGUGGGUGAUCUGCCCUGCACUUCGGGAUAAGCCUGGGAAACUGGGUCUAAUACCGGAUAGGACCACAUUUUGGAUGGUGUGGUGGAAAGUUUUUCGGUGUGGGAUGAGCUCGCGGCCUAUCAGCUUGUUGGUGGGGUAAUGGCCUACCAAGGCGUCGACGGGUAGCCGGCCUGAGAGGGUGUACGGCGACAUUGGGACUGCGAUACGGACCAGACUCCAACGGGAGGCAGCAGUGGGGAAUAUUGCACAAUGGGCGCAAGCCUGAUGCAGCGACGCCGGGUGGGGGAUGACGGCCUUCGGGUUGUAAACUGCUUUCGCUAGGGACGAAGCGCAAGUGACGGUACCUGGAGAAGAAGCACCGGCUAACUACGUG
RNAcentral lists this ribosomal RNA (465 nucleotides) under uncultured bacterium. RNAcentral describes it as "partial 16S ribosomal RNA". It matches the Rfam family "Bacterial small subunit ribosomal RNA", at positions 28 to 507 of the family's 1533-position model. The record is from RNAcentral.